RNAcentral lists this transfer RNA (78 nucleotides) under Thermoproteota archaeon. RNAcentral describes it as "tRNA-Met". It matches the Rfam family "tRNA". Rfam says of the family: Transfer RNA (tRNA) molecules are approximately 80 nucleotides in length. The record is from RNAcentral. Lineage: Archaea; Thermoproteati; Thermoproteota.
GCCGGGGUAGCUCAGCCUGGUUAGAGCACCGGACUCAUAAUCCGGGGGUCCCGGGUUCAAAUCCCGGCCCCGGCACCA